GUUUCGGGUGGGGCGGUGCGUUCCAGUCGCUGACGCUUGACAGGCGUCCGAGCGACCGCGUACAUUGCUUUUGCCUCGUGAUGAGCGAGGCCGGGAUU
This 98-nucleotide transfer RNA is filed under the name Variovorax boronicumulans. RNAcentral describes it as "tRNA-Val". Lineage: Bacteria; Pseudomonadati; Pseudomonadota; Betaproteobacteria; Burkholderiales; Comamonadaceae. The record is from RNAcentral.